Molecule: ribosomal RNA, 516 nt
Filed under: uncultured bacterium
Lineage: Bacteria
Description: bacterial SSU rRNA
Rfam family: Bacterial small subunit ribosomal RNA
Source: RNAcentral
AGAGUUGAUCCUGGCUCAGGAUGAACGCUAGCGGCAGGCCUAACACAUGCAAGUCGAGGGGCAGCGCGGAGUAGUAAUACUUGGCGGCGACCGGCGCACGGGUGAGUAACACGUAUGCAACCAACCCAUAACAGGGGGAUAACCCGGAGAAAUCCGGACUAAUACCGCAUAAGACCACGAUAUCGCAUGAUAUAGAGGUCAAAUAUUUAUAGGUUAUGGACGGGCAUGCGUCUGAUUAGCUGGUUGGCGGGGUAACGGCCCACCAAGGCAUCGAUCAGUAGGGGUUCUGAGAGGAAGGUCCCCCACAUUGGAACUGAGACACGGUCCAAACUCCUACGGGAGGCAGCAGUGAGGAAUAUUGGUCAAUGGGCGAAAGCCUGAACCAGCCAUGUCGCGUGAAGGAAUGAAGGUCCUAUGGAUUGUAAACUUCUUUUGCAGGAGGGUAAAGUGAGCUACGUGUAGUUCAUUGCAAGUACCCUGCGAAUAAGCAUCGGCUAACUCCGUGCCAGCAGCCGC